UCCGGCCAUCUAAGCACGAAACUUGCCCCGAGAUGAGUUCUCCCUGAGACUUUAAGUCUCCUGAAGGAACGUUGAAGACGACGACGUUGAUAGGCCGGGUGUGUAAGCGCAGCGAUGCGUUGAGCUAACCGGUACUAAUGAACCGUGAGGCUUAACCUU
Molecule: ribosomal RNA, 159 nt
Filed under: Haemophilus influenzae
Lineage: Bacteria; Pseudomonadati; Pseudomonadota; Gammaproteobacteria; Pasteurellales; Pasteurellaceae
Description: partial 23S ribosomal RNA
Rfam family: Bacterial large subunit ribosomal RNA
Source: RNAcentral